This 265-nucleotide unclassified non-coding RNA is filed under the name Hevea brasiliensis (rubber tree). Lineage: Eukaryota; Viridiplantae; Streptophyta; Magnoliopsida; Malpighiales; Euphorbiaceae. The record is from RNAcentral.
GUGGAAUUUUCAGUAAAAUAUAAAAAAUACUCUCUUCAAUAAGAAACCAUCACAGUAUAAAAUUAGAACAAAUCACAUAUUUGGGCAAAUCUAAACCAGCAAUAAGCAUUAUAUGCCUAAUGCGUUUUCCAAGACAUACAACCAAACUCAAUCUAAUACAAUGCUAAAGAUAAGCAUUAUUAGCAAUCAUGAAAAUAAUAUAUUUAAGGUGCGAAGUAAAUUUACUUGAUUUUCCAAAAAUUACAUAAAAAAAAUUAUUAUUUUG